Molecule: long non-coding RNA, 809 nt
Organism: Lotus japonicus
Lineage: Eukaryota; Viridiplantae; Streptophyta; Magnoliopsida; Fabales; Fabaceae
Exons: 4
Source: RefSeq, a predicted model, not a curated record
UUAAUAUUCCAUAUAAUUUUUAUAACAAUCUUCUCAGCUAGCAAUUUCACUCUCUGGAGCCCUGAUUUAACAACCACGCAAUUUCACUCUCUUGCGGUGUCUCCGAUUACAGUUCAGGUGUUAGUAGUCGAGAACCGAGCAUGAGACUACGACGAGAUGUGGUUCUCUGUAUCAAGGUCCUUUUAUGAUACUUUAUCCAAUGCAGUGCAAUGCACACCAGCUGUAUGAUAAAAUGCUUCCCAGGUUAUUGAUUAAGAGAUUGAUGAGGUUGAUGAUUCCACAAGGGAGUACAAGGUAUGGAAUGGAGGCUUUAAGAUUUGUUGCAAGAAUUCCUUGAUAAAGUUCAAUUAACUUCUAUCUAGAGUUGUUCAACUAAAUAUGGCUAAUAAAUUAUUAGAUGAUCCUUGCAUCAAGAGAAGUGAGUUACAGCCACAAGCCAUGUGUGGGGAUCCUUUAUAUUUCUAGCUACCGAAUAGGGUUCUUGACCACAAUGAGGAAGGAGUUACAUUGGCAUUGGCAAGUUCUGAAGAAUUCCCAAAAAAUUGGUAAAAAAUGUGUUGAAGGUGGAAAAGUGCCAAAACUUAGAGUGAUGUAUCAUUCAACAGAGGAAGAUGGAUCAGGGAUCGGAAAGACAAUAAAAGCAUAAUUGGGUGAUAUUCAGAGUAUUGAAUAUUUGCAAGAGUAUCUACAGAACAAUGACAUUAAUUCAAUCUCUGUGAAUACUUUAGGAGCCAAAGAAGUUUUAUUAGAGUUUGCAAUUUAAUAUGAAAUGUAUGUUCUGUAAAUUGAAGUGCGUAGUUUCUAGUGGA